This 70-nucleotide transfer RNA is filed under the name Protoblepharus nyingchiensis. Its description in RNAcentral is "tRNA-Ile". Lineage: Eukaryota; Metazoa; Chordata; Lepidosauria; Squamata; Scincidae. The record is from RNAcentral.
GGAAGUGUGCCCGAUUCUAAGGAUUACUUUGAUAGAGUAAAACAAAGGGGUUUAAACCCCCUCAUUUCCC